UAUUUGCCGCGGAAGGCGGGCUCUCGGGGCGCACGGCCCAACCCUUCCUCUCCCGGGGGCGUGGCGCUCGGCGCGCCGGCCAAUCCCCGGCCACGUCGUGGCGCAGCAGCCAAUGAGGAACGCCGGGGGGAUUAAAGCUCGCCGCUGCCGGCCCCUCCUCCCCUCUCCUCAGCGCCGGGCGGGUUGGCGGCUCGGGCGCGGUCCCCGCUGGCUCCCUCCCGGCCUUUCUCGCCCCGCGCCCGUCGGGCUUCAAUCCGGCGCCAUCGCGCGCCUCGCGCGGCCGGGCGUGAGCGCGACAGGCGGCGACGCCGGGGCCAAGCCGAGGGCGUCCGGAUGCGAGCAGGAUCUUGAGGGAAGGACCGAGGCCUCGGGCGCCUGAGGAGAAAGGAAGCGGCGGCGCCAAGAUGCUGGGGCCGGGCUCGGGCCGGCCGGGCGCGCGCCGCCCGGGGGCGAGGUCCCGUCGCGGGGGCCGCGCCCUGUGCCCGCCGUGGCUCUCCGCGGAGCCUGAGGAAUUACGUUCUUGGAGCUGCUGGCAAAAGAUUCCUUGACCUUGAAAGGAAUACAGUUGAAGGGUGUUUUUCUUGUACAACAUUUGUGCAACUUCUUGUACCAGAUCAAAUAAUCUGAAGAUAAGUCGAGCCGGAGCGAUAGUAGAGCGGGUAGGGUGUUUGCCUCACAUGCAGCCGACCUGGAUUUGAUCCCUGGCAUCCCAUAUGGUUCUCCAGCACUGCCAGGAAUGAUUCCUGGGUUCAGAGCCAGGAGUAACCCCUGAGCAUCUCCAGGUGUGACCAAAAAAAAAGAAGAAAAAAUUGAAGAUAUGUAUCAGGUGAUCUUUACUCUGCGUACUUUUCUUUACAUGGCAUGUAGAUGAAGAUGAGUCUUCACAAUGUAAAUAGCACCAGCAAUACAGUUGAAAAUCUCACAGUAGUAACUGAACUGUUAUGUAAACUUUGCUGCUAACUUAUUCUUUAGUCUGUAUGUCAUCAUGCCAAUAAAAGAUGAGUGUCGUGAUAAAUAAACUAAUUUCCUUCAAA
Molecule: long non-coding RNA, 1034 nt
Organism: Sorex araneus (European shrew)
Lineage: Eukaryota; Metazoa; Chordata; Mammalia; Eulipotyphla; Soricidae
Exons: 4
Source: RefSeq, a predicted model, not a curated record